GAUGAACGCUAGCUACAGGCUUAACACAUGCAAGUCGAGGGGCAGCAUUGUGGUGGCUUGCCACCGCAGAUGGCGACCGGCGCACGGGUGAGUAACGCGUAUCCAACCUGCCCGCAACCGCGGAAUAGCCCGCCGAAAGGCGGAUUAAUGCCGCAUGAGCUCGCGUGGGGGCAUCUGCCCGCGAGCAAAGGUUUUUCCGGUUGUGGAUGGGGAUGCGUCCGAUUAGGCAGCAGGCGGGGCAACGGCCCACCUGGCCGACGAUCGGUAGGGGUUCUGAGAGGAAGGUCCCCCACAUUGGAACUGAGACACGGUCCAAACUCC
RNAcentral lists this ribosomal RNA (321 nucleotides) under uncultured Prevotella sp. RNAcentral's name for it is "bacterial SSU rRNA". It matches the Rfam family "Bacterial small subunit ribosomal RNA", at positions 28 to 339 of the family's 1533-position model. The record is from RNAcentral. Lineage: Bacteria; Pseudomonadati; Bacteroidota; Bacteroidia; Bacteroidales; Prevotellaceae.